This 485-nucleotide ribosomal RNA is filed under the name uncultured bacterium. RNAcentral's name for it is "bacterial SSU rRNA". It matches the Rfam family "Bacterial small subunit ribosomal RNA", at positions 30 to 516 of the family's 1533-position model. The record is from RNAcentral.
AUUGAACGCUGGCGGCAUGCCUUACACAUGCAAGUCGAACGGCAGCACGGGGCAACCCGGUGGCGAGUGGCGAACGGGUGAGUAAUGCAUCGGAACGUGCCAUUGAGUGGGGGAUAACGUAGCGAAAGUUGCGCUAAUACCGCAUAUUCUGUGAGCAGGAAAGCAGGGGACCGCAAGGCCUUGCGCUCUUUGAGCGGCCGAUGUCAGAUUAGCUAGUUGGUGAGGUAAAGGCUUACCAAGGCGACGAUCUGUAGCGGGUCUGAGAGGAUGAUCCGCCACACUGGAACUGAGACACGGUCCAGACUCCUACGGGAGGCAGCAGUGGGGAAUUUUGGACAAUGGGCGCAAGCCUGAUCCAGCCAUGCCGCGUGAGUGAAGAAGGCCUCGGUUGUAAGCUCUUCGCCGGAGAAAUCGCAUGGGUUAAUACCCUGUGUGGAUGACGGUACCGGAAUAAGAAGACACCGGCUAACUACGUGCCAGCAGCC